Molecule: small nucleolar RNA, 91 nt
Organism: Rhizoclosmatium globosum
Lineage: Eukaryota; Fungi; Chytridiomycota; Chytridiomycetes; Chytridiales; Chytriomycetaceae
Rfam family: Small nucleolar RNA R38
About the family: snoR38 is a C/D box small nucleolar RNA conserved across yeast, human, Arabidopsis and rice.
Source: Rfam
AAACAGAAAUGAUGAGCAAACUUUGUCAAUCUAACAGUUAUCCCUGUCGGAAUACAAAUUAAUUGUCGAUAAGAUGGACUCUGAUCUUAGC